UUAUAUCAUGUAAAAAAAAGAGUAAAACAUCUUCCUAGUGCAGAAGUUAAUUAAGAUCGAAACAACGAAGAAUCCGAUUAUUCCAACUUCCACAUCUGAAAUCGAAGUGUUGAAUAUUAUUUGCUUUCAGAAACAAUCUAAUGGAACGAUGAGGUGUUAUUGGAUGAAUGGAUGCGCUCAUCUUCGUUGUUUCAAACACGUUGGUUUGACUGGAUAUUCCAUCAGGGUUUCUCUCCGUGCAGCCAUUAAAUUUUCUUCUUUGUGUAUUUGGGAUGUCUCACCGUAAGUUUGAGCACCCAAGACAUGGUUCGUUGGGAUUUCUUCCUGGGAAAAGGGCUGCACGCCACAGAGGAAAAGUGAAGUCCUUCCCCAAGGAUGAUUCAUCAAAGCCAUGUAGAUUGACUGCAUUUCUAGGAUACAAGGCUGGGAUGACUCACAUUGUUUGAGAGGUGGAUCCAUCAGGUUCAUAAUUUUCAUGGAAAACAUCAGCAAUGGGUGAAAAUGUCUCUAAUACUAAGACAUUUCUUGAGAAGAGGUACACACUGAUGAUAUGGAGCUUGAAGAUGAUAUUCACACAACUAUUUUGACUCUGAAAGAAGGGUAUUUUUAUUUUACCUAUUUUUGUAUAUUUAGUCUAGGCAAGCAACUUGCAUUUACUUAGAGAGCGCACCUGAUUUUUCACAUGUUUACGUUAUGCCCCCAUCUGUAUGCUUUAAGUAUCUUGUGUCUGGUUCUGCAUCUAGAAAAGUGUAUGGUGGGGAACAUGAGUUCAGCUGAAGCUGCUCUAGAUUGUGACACUAGGGAAAGUGUUUUCUUAUUAGCUAACUAGGGCUUGUGUAUUGUUCUGAACUCAG
Papaver somniferum (opium poppy) is the source of this 854-nucleotide long non-coding RNA. RefSeq lists it as uncharacterized. The transcript has 7 exons. Lineage: Eukaryota; Viridiplantae; Streptophyta; Magnoliopsida; Ranunculales; Papaveraceae. The record is from RefSeq and is a predicted model, not a curated record.